Molecule: ribosomal RNA, 389 nt
Filed under: Gephyrocapsa cf. oceanica
Lineage: Eukaryota; Haptophyta; Isochrysidales; Noelaerhabdaceae
Description: partial small subunit ribosomal RNA
Rfam family: Eukaryotic small subunit ribosomal RNA
Source: RNAcentral
AUUCCAGCUCCAAUAGCGUAUAUUAAAGUUGUUGCAGUUAAAACGCUCGUAGUCGGAUUUCGGGGCGGGCCGACCGGUCUGCCGAUGGGUAUGCACUGGCCGGCGCGUCCUUCCACCCGGAGACCGCGCCUACUCUUAACUGAGCGGGCGCGGGAGACGGGUCUUUUACUUUGAAAAAAUCAGAGUGUUUCAAGCAGGCAGUCGCUCUUGCAUGGAUUAGCAUGGGAUAAUGAAAUAGGACUCUGGUGCUAUUUUGUUGGUUUUCGGAAAUCGACUUAAUGAUUAAUAGGGACAGUCGGGGGCAUUUGUAUUCAAACGAUAGAGGUGAAAUUCUUGGACCGUUUGAAGACAAACUACUGCGAAAGCAUUUGCCAAGAAUGUUUUCAUUG